This 200-nucleotide unclassified non-coding RNA is filed under the name Neocatenulostroma sp. RNAcentral describes it as "partial internal transcribed spacer 2". Lineage: Eukaryota; Fungi; Ascomycota; Dothideomycetes; Mycosphaerellales; Teratosphaeriaceae. The record is from RNAcentral.
UUAAGUUCAGCGGGUAUCCCUACCUGAUCCGAGGUCAACCUUUGAGUAAUGGUUUAACGGCCAGACGCCCCCCGAUCUCGCAAGCGGAUAGUUUUAACCACAACGCUUAGAGACAGAGAGCUCAGCCGGAAACAUUGAGGCGCGCGGCGGACCGCGGCGCCCAAUACCAAGCGAGGCUUGAGUGGUGUAAUGACGCUCGA